CCUACGGGAGGCUGCAGUGAGGAAUAUUGGUCAAUGGACGCAAGUCUGAACCAGCCAUGCCGCGUGCAGGAAGACGGCUCUAUGAGUUGUAAACUGCUUUUGUACGAGGGUAAAUCCCGAUACGUGUAUCGGGUUGAAAGUAUCGUACGAAUAAGGAUCGGCUAACUCCGUGCCAGCAGCCGCGGUAAUACGGAGGAUUCAAGCGUUAUCCGGAAUGACUGGGCGUAAAGGGUGCGUAGGUGGUUUGGCAAGUUGGUAGCGUAAUCCCGGGGCUCAACCUCGGUGCUACUACCAAAACUGUUGAACUUGAGUGCAGGAGGGGUGAAUGGAAUUCCCAGUGUAGCGGUGGAAUGCGUAGAUAUUGGGAAGAACACCAGCGGCGAAGGCGAUUCACUGGACUGUAACUGACACUGAGGCACGAAAGCGUGGGGAGCAAACAGGAUUAGAUACCCUAGUAGUC
Molecule: ribosomal RNA, 460 nt
Filed under: uncultured bacterium
Lineage: Bacteria
Description: partial 16S ribosomal RNA
Rfam family: Bacterial small subunit ribosomal RNA
Source: RNAcentral